RNAcentral lists this ribosomal RNA (119 nucleotides) under Gossypium arboreum. Lineage: Eukaryota; Viridiplantae; Streptophyta; Magnoliopsida; Malvales; Malvaceae. The record is from RNAcentral.
GGUUGCGAUCAUACCAGCACUAAUGCACCGGAUCCCAUUAGAACUCCACAGUUAAGCGUGCUUGGGUGAGAGUAGUACUAGGAAAUGUGACCUCCUAGGAAAUUCUCGUGUUGCACCCC